This 501-nucleotide ribosomal RNA is filed under the name uncultured bacterium. RNAcentral's name for it is "partial 16S ribosomal RNA". It matches the Rfam family "Bacterial small subunit ribosomal RNA", at positions 29 to 523 of the family's 1533-position model. The record is from RNAcentral.
AUUGAACGCUGGCGGCAUGCCUUACACAUGCAAGUCGAACGGCAGCACGGGUGCUUGCACCUGGUGGCGAGUGGCGAACGGGUGAGUAAUACAUCGGAACGUACCUUAUCGUGGGGGAUAACGCAGCGAAAGCUGUGCUAAUACCGCAUACGCCCUGAGGGGGAAAGCGGGGGAUCGCAAGACCUCGCGCGAUUAGAGCGGCCGAUGCCUGAUUAGCUAGUUGGUGGGGUAAAAGCCCACCAAGGCGACGAUCAGUAGCUGGUCUGAGAGGACGAUCAGCGACACUGGGACUGAGACACGGCCCAGACUCCUACGGGAGGCAGCAGUGGGGAAUUUUGGACAAUGGGGGCAACCCUGAUCCGGCAAUGCCGCGUGAGUGAAGAAGGCCUUCGGGUUGUAAAGCUCUUUUGUCAGGGAAGAAACACCGGCUCUAACACAGUCCGGGAAUGACGGUACCUGAAGAAUAAGCACCGGCUAACUACGUGCCAGCAGCCGCCGUAA